RNAcentral lists this ribosomal RNA (785 nucleotides) under uncultured bacterium. RNAcentral's name for it is "bacterial SSU rRNA". It matches the Rfam family "Bacterial small subunit ribosomal RNA", at positions 79 to 861 of the family's 1533-position model. The record is from RNAcentral.
CUUGCUUCUCUUGAGAGCGGCGGACGGGUGAGUAAUGCCUAGGAAUCUGCCUGGUAGUGGGGGAUAACGUCCGGAAACGGACGCUAAUACCGCAUACGUCCUACGGGAGAAAGCAGGGGACCUUCGGGCCUUGCGCUAUCAGAUGAGCCUAGGUCGGAUUAGCUAGUUGGUGGGGUAAUGGCUCACCAAGGCGACGAUCCGUAACUGGUCUGAGAGGAUGAUCAGUCACACUGGAACUGAGACACGGUCCAGACUCCUACGGGAGGCAGCAGUGGGGAAUAUUGGACAAUGGGCGAAAGCCUGAUCCAGCCAUGCCGCGUGUGUGAAGAAGGUCUUCGGAUUGUAAAGCACUUUAAGUUGGGAGGAAGGGCAGUAAAUUAAUACUUUGCUGUUUUGACGUUACCGACAGAAUAAGCACCGGCUAACUCUGUGCCAGCAGCCGCGGUAAUACAGAGGGUGCAAGCGUUAAUCGGAAUUACUGGGCGUAAAGCGCGCGUAGGUGGUUCGUUAAGUUGGAUGUGAAAUCCCCGGGCUCAACCUGGGAACUGCAUUCAAAACUGACGAGCUAGAGUAUGGUAGAGGGUGGUGGAAUUUCCUGUGUAGCGGUGAAAUGCGUAGAUAUAGGAAGGAACACCAGUGGCGAAAGCGACCACCUGGACUGAUACUGACACUGAGUGCGAAAGCGUGGGGAGCAAACAGGAUUAGAUACCCUGGUAGUCCACGCCGUAAACGAUGUCAACUAGCCGUUGGGAGCCUUGAGCUCUUAGUGGCGCAGCUAACGCAUU